CUUUAACCAAGAACAAAAUAAACCCUCAGUCCGCCAGAACACUACGAGCAAAAGCUUAAAACUCAAGCAGACUUGACGGUGUUGCAAACCGGCCUAGAGGAGCCUGUCCAAUAAUCGAUAACCCACGCUCCACCUCACCCCCCCUAGCCUGCAGCCUAUAUACCGCCGUCGAAAGCCCACCUUUUGAAAGCCUCCACCGUGAGCAAGAUAGUCAGACCACUAACACGUCAGGUCAAGGUGUAGCUAAUGGGGCGGACACAAGAUGGGCUACAUUUUCUACCACAGGACCUACCAUAUACCGCAUGAAACACGGACAAAAGCUGGAUUUAGCAGUAAGCACAACUAGAUAAGUCGUACUGAAACCAGCGCUG
Molecule: ribosomal RNA, 371 nt
Filed under: Paroedura oviceps
Lineage: Eukaryota; Metazoa; Chordata; Lepidosauria; Squamata; Gekkonidae
Description: partial 12S ribosomal RNA
Source: RNAcentral